Small nucleolar RNA from Rattus norvegicus (Norway rat), 125 nucleotides. Ensembl annotates it as small nucleolar RNA SNORA17. NCBI's taxonomy places the organism in Eukaryota, Metazoa, Chordata, Mammalia, Rodentia, Muridae. The record is from Ensembl.
CCUGCCCCUAGAAGGUGUGGAUGCUAUGUCACAUGUGUGCCAGUAGGUGGCAGAGAGGAGAGAGAGGCUUUGUCUGUGCUCAGAGUCUGACCUUUGAGCGUGUGAAUGAUUGGUGGCCUAAAGCU